This 427-nucleotide ribosomal RNA is filed under the name uncultured bacterium. RNAcentral describes it as "bacterial SSU rRNA". It matches the Rfam family "Bacterial small subunit ribosomal RNA", at positions 791 to 1217 of the family's 1533-position model. The record is from RNAcentral.
UAGUCCACGCCCUAAACGAUGCUAACUCGAUGUUUGGAUUUAGAUCUGAGCAUCCAAGGGAAACCGUUAAGUUGACCGCCUGGGGAGUACGCCGGCAACGGUAAAACUCAAAUGAAUUGACGGGGGCCCGCACAAGCGGUGGAGCAUGUGGUUUAAUUCGAUGCAACGCGAAAAACCUUACCUACCCUUGACAUCCUCAGAACUUGUUAGAGAUAACUUGGUGCCUUCGGGAACUGAGUGACAGGUGCUGCAUGGCUGUCGUCAGCUCGUGUCGUGAGAUGUUGGGUUAAGUCCCGCAACGAGCGCAACCCUUGUCCCUAGUUGCCAGCACGUAAAGGUGGGAACUCUAGGGAGACUGCCGGUGACAAACCGGNGGAAGGUGGGGAUGACGUCAAGUCAUCAUGGGCCCUUAUGGGGUAGGGGCUAC